This 24-nucleotide non-coding RNA is filed under the name Arabidopsis thaliana (thale cress). Lineage: Eukaryota; Viridiplantae; Streptophyta; Magnoliopsida; Brassicales; Brassicaceae. The record is from RNAcentral.
UAAUUUUGGGUCCGUAAUAUAGCC